RNAcentral lists this ribosomal RNA (590 nucleotides) under uncultured bacterium. RNAcentral's name for it is "bacterial SSU rRNA". It matches the Rfam family "Bacterial small subunit ribosomal RNA", at positions 8 to 603 of the family's 1533-position model. The record is from RNAcentral.
AGAGUUUGAUCCUGGCUCAGGAUGAACGCUGGCGGCGUGCUUAACACAUGCAAGUCGAACGCUGAAGCUCCCAGCUUGCUGGGGGUGGAUGAGUGGCGAACGGGUGAGUAUCACGUGAGUAACCUGCCCUUGACUCUGGGAUAAGCCCGGGAAACUGGGUCUAAUACUGGAUAGGACUGGCCAUCGCAUGGUGGUUGGUUGAAAGCUUUUGCGGUUUUGGAUGGACUCGCGGCCUAUCAGCUUGUUGGUGGGGUAAUGGCCUACCAAGGCUUUGACGGGUAGCCGGCCUGAGAGGGUGACCGGCCACACUGGGACUGAGACACGGCCCAGACUCCUACGGGAGGCAGCAGUGGGGGAUAUUGCACAAUGGGCGCAAGCCUGAUGCAGCGACGCCGCGUGAGGGAUGACGGCCUUCGGGUUGUAAACCUCUUUCAGUUGGGAAGAANCCUUUCGGGGUGACGGUACCUUCAGAAGAAGCACCGGCUAACUACGUGCCAGCAGCCGCAGUAAUACGUAGGGUGCGAGCGUUAUCCGGAAUUAUUGGGCGUAAAGAGCUCGUAGGCGGUUUGUCGCGUCUGCUGUGAAAGCUC